UGAUACAUAAUUAUUUUUGGGCCAUCUGUCCCUCUCCUAUCCACGCAAUGGGCAUAAAAUAAGAACCAAAAAAAGUUCUUAUUUAUUUAUUUGUUUGUGAUUUUAAAUCUAUCUACUGAAAUUUAUCAAUCAAACAAAGAACAUUUAUCUACUGAACUGAGCUGUAUGUGAUAAGUGGUCUAAGGUUAAUGCUUCCUUAAUUGUACAGAGCCUGUUUUUGGUGGAGAACCUGAUACCUCUCCUUUGUGUGAAUCAAAAUUGAAAAUGAAAAUUGCAAAAAAUUUCAGUAGAUUUGAGAAGCGAAAGGGGCCAUGACCGAGUUGAUUAUCGAGCUGAGUUGAACAGAAGGGCGCGCAUAAAAGUGUUGGGUGGAAAUAACUUCAUCUUCUUCAUUCCAAUCAACUGAAUCAGUCCAUAUUCGACCCGUUUCUCUGCUAGUGCAAUUCGUUUAGAAUCCGAAUCAUUUGAUUAAUCUAGUGAUUUUUUUUGUACAUUCUUUGUGACUGACAAAGACUACAUCUUCUCGUCACAUAGAAGGCCUCCUUAACAGUCGGCCAAAAAUUGAUUAAACUGAUUCACCUACUUCAUCAUUCAACUUCAAUCUCAAUUCAUUUUCAUUUUUUUUUUUAAA
This is a long non-coding RNA of Papaver somniferum (opium poppy), 631 nucleotides long. RefSeq lists it as uncharacterized. The transcript has 2 exons. The record is from RefSeq and is a predicted model, not a curated record. NCBI's taxonomy places the organism in Eukaryota, Viridiplantae, Streptophyta, Magnoliopsida, Ranunculales, Papaveraceae.